Long non-coding RNA from Amphibalanus amphitrite, 314 nucleotides. RefSeq lists it as uncharacterized. The record is from RefSeq and is a predicted model, not a curated record. The transcript has 3 exons. NCBI's taxonomy places the organism in Eukaryota, Metazoa, Arthropoda, Thecostraca, Balanomorpha, Balanidae.
GUUCGGCUGCAGCGCGUGCCGCGUCAGUGUCCGUCUGUGCCCGUCUGAGGCUGCCGCUGAUACCUACAGCACGUCCAUCCGCCGACCUGCCCACUGCACUGGUCACAGGAGAUCGGCUGUGUCCGGAGCCGGACAGGCGGAGCCAUGGCUGCCGGCGGUCGGCUGUGGAUGCUCUGCUGCUGCCUUCUGCUGGCGACGCAUUUGACCGACGCCGGCAAAGGACGGAAGAAGGGUAACGGGGUGAAGGGCUUCCUGUCGGAGCUGCAGACGGUGCUGGACAGUCGGAAGACCAAUAUGGCUAGGAUGGAGGGAUG